Long non-coding RNA from Micropterus dolomieu (smallmouth bass), 358 nucleotides. RefSeq lists it as uncharacterized. The record is from RefSeq and is a predicted model, not a curated record. NCBI's taxonomy places the organism in Eukaryota, Metazoa, Chordata, Actinopteri, Centrarchiformes, Centrarchidae. The transcript has 3 exons.
CCUGCUUGUUCCCUGUCUUCGUAGUUCUGGAUUAUUCCCUGUGUUUUGGAUCGCCUUGUGUUCUGGACUACCUUUGUUGGACUUUGCCUCGAGCUCCUUCUGAGUUUACUGAUCAGGUCAGCAGCUGACAGUGAAUGUGGAGAGCGGCCUCUGCUGGACCACAAGAUGUGUCUCAAGUCAGUUUUGAAGAGACCAAUCAGGGCUCGGUUACCGUGGAUCCAGUCGGUACUCUGACCUCAGACCUGCAGACCGACCUGUCGCUGUCUCCUCCCCCACACCUGGAGAACACACACAUACUGCAGUCCUGGUCCGACAGUACGACCCACAGACAGGUAGGGAGCUCACAGUUUGAAGUGGG